RNAcentral lists this ribosomal RNA (543 nucleotides) under Triticum aestivum (bread wheat). Its description in RNAcentral is "partial small subunit ribosomal RNA". Lineage: Eukaryota; Viridiplantae; Streptophyta; Magnoliopsida; Poales; Poaceae. The record is from RNAcentral.
AUGGAGCAAUUGGAGAAGAGGGCUGCAGAACAACAAAUCAAAGAGCUGCGUGAAGAAGAUCUUAAUCGGAGAUUUGACCGGCUGGUUGAGAUGAUAAGAAAGGGUGCCCCCCCUGCUACCAAUGAAGGAGAUUCAUCUAAAGAAGAUGUUCAUCAAAGAAGGAGAGGUAAUCUUGGAGCAAGACCGCCACAACAACAUGUUGUUCAACGUGCUUCAAGAAGGCCAAUUUAUGUUGAAGCUUCUAAAGGUGAGGAAUAUGAUGAUGCCCUUGAAGAACCAGAUCUCUCCGCAUAUCGGAGAGUACCCAACCCUACAUAUGCAAGAGAUACAUACAAGGUGAAAGCUGAGAUCCCAACUUUUAAUGGAAAUGUUGAUAUUGAAGAGUGCCUAGAUUGGUUAUAUGAAGUGGAGACUUUCUUUGAGGUCAUGGAGGUUCCGGAAGAUCGUAGAGUUCCUUCGGUCGCAUACAAGCUGAAAGGAGGAGACGGUGCAUGGUGGCAUCGCGUUCAAGAAGAGCGCAGGCUGAGAGAGAACCUCAUGUGA